This is a long non-coding RNA of Acinonyx jubatus (cheetah), 3175 nucleotides long. RefSeq lists it as uncharacterized. The record is from RefSeq and is a predicted model, not a curated record. Lineage: Eukaryota; Metazoa; Chordata; Mammalia; Carnivora; Felidae. The transcript has 3 exons.
UAUUAAUUUAAGCCACAAGUUUGCUGUGAUUUAUUACUGCUGUCCAAGAGACUAGUUCAGUAAUAAUACCAGCAGCCAACAUUUAUGGAGUGCCUACCCUGUGCCUGGCACGGUUCUAAGUUUUACAUGCAUCAUUUCAUGUAAUGCACGGUUUACAUGCAUUGUUUCAUUUAAUUCCUACCACCAACCCAAUGAAGUGGACAUAUACAAGCAAUGUCAACAAAAGCAGGUUUGGGUUUUGUUUUGUUUUGUUUUGUUUUUAUUGAGGGUUUUUCAUGUCUUUGGCAUUUGAAAAUUGAACCGUCCACCUGAGCGGCAUGUUUCAUUAUUUUUCUCUUUUAUGCGUGAGGAGCCUGUAGACCCAAAACUUAGGUAAUUGCCCAAGGUUACACAAUGAGUAUGUAGUGGAGCCAGGAUUCCAGCCCUGGUAACUCCUGUGGGUGCCUUUAACUGCUUUGCACUUCCCAGGCUGCUGGUAGAGAGAGAUCCCACGAGGCCGAUGGGCCGAGUGGCCCAGGGCUGGGUAUUGCAGUUGCAGGGCUGGAAGUGGCCAAGCGGCCGGUGAGUUUGGGGGAAAGACUGGGGCUAGGAGAGUAAGUCGGGCUGAAGGAGGAGGAGAUGGGAGGUCUUGGUGACCUCAGAGAGCAUAAGCCCCUGGAGCAACAGAGCAAGAGCCUCGUCUGUGGCCCCCCCUGGGGACUCUGGCUUUUAAGAUCCCUGAGCCGGCACAGUUCUGAGACAUGAUAGGUCUAGUUGUGGCCAUGGGAGUAAGUGAUCAAACAUCAGUGGGGCGGCAGGGGGGACAGGAGGGGUGUGGGCAGGGAGAUUGUCAGUCGACUCCACUUGGUCAAGGAACCUGGGAGACAAAGAUCAUACCAUAACUGAUCGACUGCUCUGGGAGUUCAAAGCCUUGAGCCAACACCACUCUUUGUUCUUAUCAUGAAACAAAUGGAACCUGAGCUGGUUCUUGAAAAACAGAUAGGAGAUGACGAAUGCAAAAGCCAGCAGGGCUUCUAGGUAACAGGCACAGCAAGAACAAAGACAUGGAAGGCCAAUGCACAGGGCAUCUAGUUGAGAGUUUAAGUUGGCUCUAGUCAAGGGUGCAUGAAACGAGACAAUGGGACUGAACUUUGAAAGUGUCCUAAUUUGGGUACCCUACAAAGCAGACACUGAAUCCAAGAUUUAGGUGCAGGUGCUAGAUUUCACAGGGUGUCCUCAGGAAGCGUAGUGAAGGAGUGGAGAAGAGACAGAGAAGGGAGAAAAGUCAAUAAAAGAUGAGCAAGUUGCCUCUUAGGUAACUGGGGCUCAGUCCCACAGGGGACCCUCGGAUAAACUAUGUGGAACACACUGCAGAAAGUGUCCCACAGAAGGACAAGGAAGCUGGAAUAUUUGUCUACCCGAUCCAGUCAGUCCUCCGAUCCUGCUGCCACAGAAGGCUCUUGGACAGAGACCAGCCACUCUUGUUACCAGUCCACACUGGGGAAACUGAUAAGAAUUCUGGCUUGGAGUCAGACGGACAGGUUUUUGCUCAAGCUCGGUCAUCUCCAGCGUGUACCAUGGGCACCAAGGAAAGGCCAUGUGAGAACACAGGAAAAAGGCAACUGUCUGCAAGCCAGGAAGAGAGAUCUCACCAGAAACCACAUUGGCUGCCAUCUUGAUCUUGGACUUCCCAGCUUCCAGAACUGUGAUAAAUAAGGCCACCCAGUCUGUGGUGUUUUGUUUUGGCAGCCGAAGCUGACAGAUAUAGCCCCUUUUCCAUAUCCUCUCAAAGUGCUCACCUCUUUCCCCUCAUAACAGGGAGCUCACUGCUUCCCUGAGGCAGCCAUCCAUCUUGGAAGAUCUGUGCCUGUUGGCAAGGUCUUCCGUUGUUGGGGAGGAAAUCUGCCCACCACGGCUUCCAUACAACAAUCCCAGCUCUGUCUUCUGGACCCACCCAGAACAAGGCCAUUCUCUCUUCCCCACCACCCCUUCAGAUAUUUGCAGGCAGGGACUGUGACCAUCCCACCUACUGUAGGUCCCAUGGGGACAGAGGCCAUGUCUGUCCUGUUUAUUUCUGUGUCCCCAGCACCUUGCACAACACUUGCCCCAGAGGAGGAGCCUUAUACAUAUUUGUUAGUUGAAUGAACAAAACUGGUUCUAUCCGGGCUAAGUAUUUCCAGUUCCUUUAACUGUACCUCCAAGAACCUGGUUUCAAAUCUUCAGUCUCUUUCUUCACCAUGUCAUGCUACUUUUCCAGAAACUGAAUUUUUAUUCCUGUAGAAGAAUGAGGUGUUGGCUCUUACAGCUUGAUGAAUUGUCAGACAUUCCUCCUCUGUCUUCCCUUUUCCUGCGCUCUUCUGUCUUCUCUAUCCUUCCAGGUUACACAGACUCCCCACAAGAGGACAGUGAAUGUUGUAAAAAGCAAACAAAAGGGAAAGAAAAGCUGACACUUGUUAAUGUUCAGUAUGAGUAUUUCCUUGCCUGGGAUAGGAGAGGCAGGGUGGUGCACGCAUUAGGGAACAGAGCUCUGAACCCAGUAGGACAGAGUGCAAAUCUCAGUCUUGCUCGUUGCAGAGCUGUGUGAUCUGGGGUAGGUGGCAACCUCUCUGAGCCUCGGACUCCUUAUCAGUGAGACACCUACCUUUCGUCCCCACCUCAGGUGGAGAGUAAAUGAGAUCAUCAAUACCUGAGACAAAUCCCUUAGCAGGGUGCUCAGCACAUGGUGCUACAGAACAUUGAUGCUAAUAGAGGAUAUGGAGGAAGGCAGUGGGUGCUACAGUGGAAGGGAGACAUCGUCUCUGUUGGAAGGAGCUGGGUUCAAAUCCCAGCUGACUUCCUGACUCACCGGGUCACCUUGGACAAGCGGUUUUCCCUCUCUGAGCCCCCAUGUUCUCAUCUGCAAAAAUGGAGAUGCCAGGCAGUUGGAAAGACUCAGUGAAAGGGUGGCAUGAAAGUCCCCAGCAUGGUGACAGAUCCCCAAAAGAAGUUUGCUCUCUGCCCUUUCAUGUAUAGUGUGAGCUCCUGUGUCUCCCUCUCAGUGAGUCAUUCAGAAGGAAAGGCUGAUUCUCUUGAGUAGACCCACAGCCACAUCACUGUGGAGAAAAAAGUUCAGGUACACAGGGCUGCACAGGGCCAGUCCCCAGGUGUGCUGACACCCCCCCCCCCUUCCAGAUGUCUUCUUCAUAGUAAUAUUGUU